Molecule: long non-coding RNA, 966 nt
Organism: Eupeodes corollae
Lineage: Eukaryota; Metazoa; Arthropoda; Insecta; Diptera; Syrphidae
Exons: 3
Source: RefSeq, a predicted model, not a curated record
GAAUGAAAUCAGAAAUAAAAGUAAAAACAAGUUCCUUUCUUGAAAACGAGUUUCAUACUGACCUCCGUAUUCAGUUAAUUCAGACCUGAACUAAUUCAUCAUAUUGACUAAAUGUGAUGGGGGCCUUACUAUUAUAAUCAACUUCUGGCAGCACAUACAAAAUAAAAUGGCGCCAAAAUGAAGCCAUAUUUUAUUUAAUUUUUCUACUUGCUUCGAACUUGGACAUUCGAUCUGCCACUUCAAUUUUAAACUCCGAAAGAAAAGGUUCUUCAUUUAAAUAUCGUGCAUAUUCAUUGCGAAAGCCCUCGUGGUCUACUAAAUAAUAAAACUAUAAUAAAGCGUUGCUAAAUCAACACAAUACACAAAGGUAAUUAAAUUAAAGUAAAUGCAAUUAAUGCAAAACAAUUCAUUACAAUGAUGAUUAGUUACCGCCCCAGUCUGAACGUUUAUGUCGAUUGGUUUUUUAAGAUCUGAAGAUUCUUUCUUUUUAUCUUGCUUAGGUAAUAAAUUAAAGACAACUAAUAAACUUGUAUAUUUUAUAAUUUCUUUUCUAGAUGGAACAUUUCAUGUUUCGAUGCCAAUUGGUGUUGCUGGAAAGCUAUGUUGUAAAAUCUGGUGAAUGACUCCUCUGCAAGUCAAACCACGUGUUCAAAUGGAAUUUUAAAUAAAAGGAAAAGAAUCUUAAAAAUGAUUGUUUCAUAGUCGGGAGCAUUUUUCAAAAACCACGCUGCUGGUUAGUGUUUGGCGCCGGGAAACCCAGUAUCCGGUAGAAAUAAUGCCAAAGGUAAUAAAAUUUAAUAAUUUUUAAUAUCAAAAUAUUUAUUUAAGCGAAUGAUGAAUGUUUUUGUAACAGUUAUCCCUGUCAUACACAAAGUUGAUGAGAAUGUUUACUCUGAAAAUUCAUUCAAUCUUUUCUAAAUUGACAUUAUUCAAUGGACAUAUUACUUAUAAGUUUUUAUUUAAUUU